CCGAGUUUACAACUCCCAAACCCCUGUGAACAUACCACUUGUUGCCUCGGCGGAUCAGCCCGCUCCCGGUAAAACGGGACGGCCCGCCAGAGGACCCUAAACUCUGUUUCUAUAUGUAACUUCUGAGUAAAACCAUAAAUAAUC
RNAcentral lists this unclassified non-coding RNA (144 nucleotides) under soil metagenome. RNAcentral's name for it is "partial internal transcribed spacer 1". The record is from RNAcentral.